AAUAACUGGUGAAGAAAGGGCCGGGCAAGACCGGUGCCAGCCGCCGCGGUAAUACCGGCGGCUCGAGUGGUGGCCACUAUUACUGGGCUUAAAGCGUCCGUAGCUGGAUUGUUAAGUCUCUUGGGAAAUCCACCGGCUCAACCGAUGGGCGUUCAGGAGAAACUGGCAAUCUAGGGACCGGGAGAGGUGAGAGGUACUCCAGGGGUAGGAGUGAAAUCCUGUAAUCCUUGGGGGACCACCUGUGGCGAAGGCGUCUCACUAGAACGGCUCCGACAGUGAGGGACGAAAGCUGGGGGAGCAAACCGGAUUAGAUACCCGGGUAGUCCCAGCUGUAAACGAUGCGCGUUAGGUGUAUCGGUGACCACGAGUCAUCGAGGUGCCGAAGGGAAACCGUGAAACGUGC
This 403-nucleotide ribosomal RNA is filed under the name uncultured archaeon. RNAcentral describes it as "bacterial SSU rRNA". It matches the Rfam family "Archaeal small subunit ribosomal RNA", at positions 422 to 824 of the family's 1478-position model. The record is from RNAcentral.